Molecule: unclassified non-coding RNA, 192 nt
Filed under: Glomeraceae sp.
Lineage: Eukaryota; Fungi; Glomeromycota; Glomeromycetes; Glomerales; Glomeraceae
Description: partial contains 5.8S ribosomal RNA and internal transcribed spacer 2
Rfam family: 5.8S ribosomal RNA (bases 1-71)
Source: RNAcentral
GUGAAUCAUCAAAUUUUUGAACGCACAUUGCGCUUCCUGGCAUCCCGGGCAGUAUGCCUGUUUGAGGGUCAGUAUUAACAAUACAUCGGCGUGGUUGCAAAUUGUGACGUUUCCGGAGUUUGGGCUAUCUUAACUUUUUUGGUUAAGGGUCUUAAAAUUGACAUUAUUUGCGCCUUUUUAGACGUACAUAAA